This 264-nucleotide small nuclear RNA is filed under the name Sciurus vulgaris (Eurasian red squirrel). The record is from RNAcentral. Lineage: Eukaryota; Metazoa; Chordata; Mammalia; Rodentia; Sciuridae.
GUGCUUGCUUCAGCAGCAGCACAUACACUAAAAUUGAAACAACACAGAGAAGUGGGGUUUAUUUAUUUUUAUUUAUUUAUUUAUUUAUUUAUUUAUUUAUUUAUUUAUUUAUUGGUCUGGGAUUGAACUCAGGGGCACUUAACCACUGAGUCACAUCCCCAGCCCUGUUUUGUAUUUUUAUUUAGAGACAGAGUCUCACUGAGUUCAUUAGCAUGGUACCUGCACAAGGAUGACAUGCAAAUUCUUGAAGCAGUCCAUAUUUUU